Molecule: ribosomal RNA, 550 nt
Filed under: Salmonella enterica
Lineage: Bacteria; Pseudomonadati; Pseudomonadota; Gammaproteobacteria; Enterobacterales; Enterobacteriaceae
Also listed under: 2 other names
Description: bacterial SSU rRNA
Rfam family: Bacterial small subunit ribosomal RNA
Source: RNAcentral
GAAGUUUUCAGAGAUGAGAGUGUGCCUUCGGGAACCGUGAGACAGGUGCUGCAUGGCUGUCGUCAGCUCGUGUUGUGAAAUGUUGGGUUAAGUCCCGCAACGAGCGCAACCCUUAUCCUUUGUUGCCAGCGGUCCGGCCGGGAACUCAAAGGAGACUGCCAGUGAUAAACUGGAGGAAGGUGGGGAUGACGUCAAGUCAUCAUGGCCCUUACGACCAGGGCUACACACGUGCUACAAUGGCGCAUACAAAGAGAAGCGACCUCGCGAGAGCAAGCGGACCUCAUAAAGUGCGUCGUAGUCCGGAUUGGAGUCUGCAACUCGACUCCAUGAAGUCGGAAUCGCUAGUAAUCGUGGAUCAGAAUGCCACGGUGAAUACGUUCCCGGGCCUUGUACACACCGCCCGUCACACCAUGGGAGUGGGUUGCAAAAGAAGUAGGUAGCUUAACCUUCGGGAGGGCGCUUACCACUUUGUGAUUCAUGACUGGGGUGAAGUCGUAACAAGGUAACCGUAGGGGAACCUGCGGUUGGAUCACCUCCUUACCUUAAAGAA